GCAGAAAUGUACAAUAUACUUCCUUUUUCCGGUCUCGUUUGUAUGAAACUUUGAGUAAAAUAUAUAUUUAUCAGUCUAGUAUAAAAUAGGAAGAAACGUGCAAUACCAAUUUCAUUUUUAAUAAUUCCUUGAUAUGAAAAAACGUUACCUAAUGAUAGCGUUUCUUUGUUUACAUUGCAUAUGACGUCAUAAUUUAAAUAACGUCACAACUAAAAUCCCUAACAACAGAACCAAACUCGGAAACGUUACGGUAUUUCCGUUUCUUUUUUUUUUUGACAAAUAAUUAAGUUACAAAAAAAUAAUUCAUACAGACUUCGUCCCCAUUUACAGGUAAUGCCUGCCUCAUAUUAUA
RNAcentral lists this long non-coding RNA (352 nucleotides) under Mytilus galloprovincialis (Mediterranean mussel). The record is from RNAcentral. Lineage: Eukaryota; Metazoa; Mollusca; Bivalvia; Mytilida; Mytilidae.